Brienomyrus brachyistius is the source of this 230-nucleotide long non-coding RNA. RefSeq lists it as uncharacterized. Lineage: Eukaryota; Metazoa; Chordata; Actinopteri; Osteoglossiformes; Mormyridae. The record is from RefSeq and is a predicted model, not a curated record. The transcript is spliced from 3 exons.
UGCAUCUUGCAUUACCUCUCUGAAAGCGUGACCCGCAACCCAGUGGGGAAUACUACCAAUCUCCGUGCAAAACUGUAGAACACUGGAACGUUCCCCAUUUAAGGCAAGAACUUCAAAGCAGUUGGACCUGGAACAAACGGGAAAACAGGACGCUCCUGUGAGAGUAUUUCUUCUAAAACAGAUGGGAGCCAGGAGAGCCAAUCCUUCACCGUUGUUUUUAAAGAAUCCAU